GCCCGGGUGGUGAAAUUGGUAGACACACAAGACUUAAAAUCUUGCGCUUAAUAGGCGUACCGGUUCGAUUCCGGUCCCGGGCA
Molecule: transfer RNA, 83 nt
Filed under: Marinomonas ushuaiensis DSM 15871
Lineage: Bacteria; Pseudomonadati; Pseudomonadota; Gammaproteobacteria; Oceanospirillales; Oceanospirillaceae
Rfam family: tRNA
About the family: Transfer RNA (tRNA) molecules are approximately 80 nucleotides in length. Their secondary structure includes four short double-helical elements and three loops (D, anti-codon, and T loops). Further hydrogen bonds mediate the characteristic L-shaped molecular structure. tRNAs have two regions of fundamental functional importance: the anti-codon, which is responsible for specific mRNA codon recognition, and the 3' end, to which the tRNAs corresponding amino acid is attached (by aminoacyl-tRNA synthetases). tRNAs cope with the degeneracy of the genetic code in two manners: having more than one tRNA (with a specific anti-codon) for a particular amino acid; and 'wobble' base-pairing, i.e. permitting non-standard base-pairing at the 3rd anti-codon position.
Source: Rfam by way of RNAcentral